CCCCCCCCCCCCCCCCCCCCCCCCCCCCCCCCCCCCCCCCCCCCCCCCCCCCCCCCCCCCCCCCCCCCACACGCGUGUGCCUGUCCCGGCCGAGCUCCCCUCACGCGUGUGCCUGUCCCGGCCGAGCUCCCCACACGCGUGUGCCUGUCCCGGCCGAGCUCCUCACACGCGUGUGCCUGUCCCGGCCGAGCUCCCCACACGCGUGUGCCUGUCCCGGCCGAGCUCCUCACACGCGUGUGCCUGUCCCGGCCGAGCUCCCCACACGCGUGUGCCUGUCCCGGCCGAGCUCCUCACACGCGUGUGCCUGUCCCGGCCGAGCUCCCCACACGCGUGUGCCUGUCCCGGCCGAGCUCCUCACACGCGUGUGCCUGUCCCGGCCGAGCUCCCCACACGCGUGUGCCUGUCCCGGCCGAGCUCCUCACACGCGUGUGCCUGUCCCGGCCGAGCUCCCCACACGCGUGUGCCUGUCCCGGCCGAGCUCCUCACACGCGUGUGCCUGUCCCGGCCGAGCUCCCCACACGCGUGUGCCUGUCCCGGCCGAGCUCCUCACACGCGUGUGCCUGUCCCGGCCGAGCUCCCCACACGCGUGUGCCUGUCCCGGCCGAGCUCCUCACACGCGUGUGCCUGUCCCGGCCGAGCUCCCCACACGCGUGUGCCUGUCCCGGCCGAGCUCCUCACACGCGUGUGCCUGUCCCGGCCGAGCUCCCCACACGCGUGUGCCUGUCCCGGCCGAGCUCCUCACACGCGUGUGCCUGUCCCGGCCGAGCUCCUCACACGCGUGUGCCUGUGCCGGCCGAGCUCUCCUCACGCGUGUCCCUGUCCCGGCCGAGCUCCCCACACUCUUGUCCCUGUCACUGCUCGCGGUGUUCCUGUCCCCGCUCACGUGUAUCCCUGUCCCGGCCGAGCCCUGUGCUGUGGUCCCUUCCCGUCUCACCGAUGUCACGGAGCACUGCCCCACAGCUCUGCGGUGUUGAUAGUGUGUGCCCUCGCUGUUUUUUCCCGCUUGUCGUGAUCCCGGCCCCGCUGCUCUUCUUUCCCGUGUCACGUUUCUCCCUGCAAGCAGCCAGCCAGCUUGGAAGACCUUGGAUGGAGAAGUGUGUCGUCCCAGAGAGCCGCAUCAUCCAAACCUUGUUUCUGCAGGAAUCCAGGUUUCAAAAGCAGCGUUGUUCCCGUACAGAAGUCCAGAGCUAUAAAUCUCUCCUGUUUUCCUGA
This 1212-nucleotide long non-coding RNA is filed under the name Ficedula albicollis (Collared flycatcher). RNAcentral's name for it is "lncRNA (ENSFALG00000024968.1)". The record is from RNAcentral. Lineage: Eukaryota; Metazoa; Chordata; Aves; Passeriformes; Muscicapidae.